Molecule: ribosomal RNA, 165 nt
Filed under: uncultured bacterium
Lineage: Bacteria
Description: partial 16S rRNA
Rfam family: Bacterial small subunit ribosomal RNA
Source: RNAcentral
UAGGGAAUCUUCGGCAAUGGACGAAAGUCUGACCGAGCAACGCCGCGUGAGUGAAGAAGGUUUUCGGAUCGUAAAACUCUGUUGGUAGAGAAGAACGUUGGUGAGAGUGGAAAGCUCAUCAGGUGACGGUAACUACCCAGAAAGGGACGGCUAACUACGUGCCAG